AUCAAGAAGAAGGAAUGUCGCCCCACCAUCAACACCCAAAGCUGAUAUUCUCGUUAAACUACUUCUU
This 67-nucleotide transfer RNA is filed under the name Apodemus sylvaticus (European woodmouse). RNAcentral's name for it is "tRNA-Pro". Lineage: Eukaryota; Metazoa; Chordata; Mammalia; Rodentia; Muridae. The record is from RNAcentral.